UCUCCAGACUCCUACGGGAGGCAGCAGUGGGGAAUAUUGCACAAUGGGCGAAAGCCUGAUGCAGCAACGCCGCGUGAAGGAAGAAGGCCUUCGGGUCGUAAACUUCUGUCCUUGGGGAAGAAGAACUGACGGUACCCAAGGAGGAAGCCCCGGCUAACUACGUGCCAGCAGCCGCGGUAAUACGUAGGUGGCAAGCGUUGUCCGGAUUUACUGGGUGUAAAGGGCGUGCAGCCGGAGAGACAAGUCAGAUGUGAAAUCCACGGGCUCAACCCGUGAACUGCAUUUGAAACUGUUUCCCUUGAGUGUCGGAGAGGUAAUCGGAAUUCCUUGGGUAGCGGUGAAAUGCGGAGAUAUAAGGAAGAACACCAGUGGCGAAGGCGGAUUACUGGACGAUAACUGACGGUGAGGCGCGAAAGCGUGGGGAGCAAACAGGAUUAGAUACCCCAGUAA
This 450-nucleotide ribosomal RNA is filed under the name uncultured bacterium. Its description in RNAcentral is "bacterial SSU rRNA". It matches the Rfam family "Bacterial small subunit ribosomal RNA", at positions 328 to 793 of the family's 1533-position model. The record is from RNAcentral.